This 468-nucleotide ribosomal RNA is filed under the name uncultured bacterium. RNAcentral's name for it is "partial 16S ribosomal RNA". The stretch from base 13 to 373 matches the Rfam family "Bacterial small subunit ribosomal RNA", at positions 40 to 399 of the family's 1533-position model. The record is from RNAcentral.
GACGAACGCUGGCGGCGUGCUUAACACAUGCAAGUCGAACGGAAAGGCCCUGCUUUUGUGGGGUGCUCGAGUGGCGAACGGGUGAGUAACACGUGAGUAACCUGCCCUUGACUUUGGGAUAACUUCAGGAAACUGGGGCUAAUACCGGAUAGGAGCUCCUGCUGCAUGGUGGGGGUUGGAAAGUUUCGGCGGUUGGGGAUGGACUCGCGGCUUAUCAGCUUGUUGGUGGGGUAGUGGCUUACCAAGGCUUUGACGGGUAGCCGGCCUGAGAGGGUGACCGGCAACAUGGGGAGUGAGAAAGGCCCGAGACUCAUGGGGGGGGAAGAGGGGGGAAAUAUGGCAAAAGGGGGGAAGGCGUGAUGCAGCAACGCCGGGGGGGGGAGGCGGGUCUUGGGUUGUAAACCGGGUUGCGCCGGGGAAGAGGGGGGGGGGAGGGAAAGGGAAAAAAAAGACCCGGAAAACUAGGGG